RNAcentral lists this long non-coding RNA (1260 nucleotides) under Monodelphis domestica (gray short-tailed opossum). RNAcentral's name for it is "lncRNA (ENSMODG00000034826.2)". The record is from RNAcentral. Lineage: Eukaryota; Metazoa; Chordata; Mammalia; Didelphimorphia; Didelphidae.
GUGACUUGCCCUGUUUCACACAACCAGUCUGUGUCAAAGGCAGGAGUUGUAACCAGGUCUUCUGGUUGUCUGACCCUGGGCAAGUCACUUAACCCUAUUUGACUUAGUUUCCCCAUCUGUAAAAUGAGCCAGAGAAGGAAAUGGAUAAACUAUGCCAGUGUCUUUGCCAAGAAAGCCUCAUGUGGAAAGCCCAACAUGAUGGAAAAUUGACCGUACAAUUUCCUGACUCCAAGACCAACUUUUAAUCUUUUACAUCAUGCUGCCUCUCGUCCAUGCAUACAUAUGUAGGUAUGUUUGUAUAUAUAUACAUAGAUGUGUUUGUGUCCCUCUCUAAAAUUAUUGCCCAUUCUAGUGCCAGAAAUUCUCAUCAAAGAACUAAGUCAUGAGUUUCAGUGUCUGUGAGCUUCCAGUUACCAAAAGCAAUUGAUUUCCUAAGUCUACUUUCUUCCUCACAUAAAAUCACUCCCAUUCUGUUAAGGUGGUAUCCAGAUGAACUAUGCAAGAUUUGCCUGUAUCUCUCAUGGAAAGUAGUCACCAUAUUUGUUGAAUCACGAAAUCCAAGAAUUAGGAAGGACUUCAAAGAGCCUCUCGUUUAAUCCAUACCUGAAAUAAUCUCAAUGACAACAUGUUUGGUAAAACAAACAAACAAAAAACAUCAAAGGUCCUAAAGCAGCAGCUAGACCUACCUGACUAUGGACCAGUAUGAGGAAUGCAGACAUCCUAGCUGUGUCUCUCAAAAUGUCAACAAUCAGGGCUCCAGAGACACACAAGGGAACUCAAAGGGAUAACAAGCAGCUGGAACCAAGUUUUAAAGGAUCUUUGCCAUUCAGCCACACCGCCAACCCUAUGAUCGAGAAGACUGUGCCAGGGAAGUGCCAGCAAGGGCUGGAAGGUUGUCAAGCUGGAAAGUCUUUGAUUAUGGACCCCCCAACCGAGUGCAUCUACUUAAGGACAAGUUUUACUCUCUCCAGAGAGGAGGCUCAGUACCAGAAGGCAGGAAAAAUAGAGGGAAGAAUAUGCCCAGAUCCGGUCCUACUUUUAGUACUCAGUGCACCGUCUCUAACAGUAAGUGGACACAUUACUGGAAAAAACAAUUCUAUGAAAACUCUCAUUCUAAAUGAAACUCUAGGUAAAAGGAUGUUUCUGUUAGGUGAAAGGAUGACUCAUGGAUUUUCCUCAGAGAGGAGAGCAGAGUUGGUUACUUUGUGCCAACAAAUCAUUAAAUUAAAAAGAAUUUAUCAAGUGCCUUCUAUGUGUCAG